This 301-nucleotide ribosomal RNA is filed under the name uncultured bacterium. RNAcentral's name for it is "partial 16S ribosomal RNA". It matches the Rfam family "Bacterial small subunit ribosomal RNA", at positions 509 to 807 of the family's 1533-position model. The record is from RNAcentral.
CAGCAGCCGCGGUAAUACGGAGGGAGCUAGCGUUGUUCGGAAUUACUGGGCGUAAAGCGCACGUAGGCGGCUUUGUAAGUUAGAGGUGAAAGCCUGGAGCUCAACUCCAGAACUGCCUUUAAGACUGCAUCGCUUGAAUCCAGGAGAGGUGAGUGGAAUUCCGAGUGUAGAGGUGAAAUUCGUAGAUAUUCGGAAGAACACCAGUGGCGAAGGCGGCUCACUGGACUGGUAUUGACGCUGAGGUGCGAAAGCGUGGGGAGCAAACAGGAUUAGAUACCCGCGUAGUCCCUGUCUCUUAUAC